AUUGAACGCUGGCGGCAGGCCUAACACAUGCAAGUCGAACGGUAACAGGAAACAGCUUGCUGUUUCGCUGACGAGUGGCGGACGGGUGAGUAAUGUCUGGGAAACUGCCUGAUGGAGGGGGAUAACUACUGGAAACGGUAGCUAAUACCGCAUAACGUCGCAAGACCAAAGAGGGGGACCUUCGGGCCUCUUGCCAUCGGAUGUGCCCAGAUGGGAUUAGCUUGUUGGUGGGGUAACGGCUCACCAAGGCGACGAUCCCUAGCUGGUCUGAGAGGAUGAACAGCCACACUGGAACUGAGACACGGUCCAGACUCCUACGGGAGGCAGCAGUGGGGAAUAUUGCACAAUGGGCGCAAGCCUGAUGCGGCCAUGCCGCGUGUAUGAAGAAGGCCUUCGGGUUGUAAAGUACUUUCAGCGGGGAGGAAGGGAGUAAAGUUAAUACCUUUACUCAUUGACGUUACCCGCAGAAGAAGCACCGGCUAACUCCGUGCCAGCCGCCGCGGUAA
RNAcentral lists this ribosomal RNA (506 nucleotides) under uncultured bacterium. RNAcentral's name for it is "partial 16S ribosomal RNA". It matches the Rfam family "Bacterial small subunit ribosomal RNA", at positions 30 to 523 of the family's 1533-position model. The record is from RNAcentral.